This 214-nucleotide ribosomal RNA is filed under the name uncultured Pseudomonas sp. RNAcentral's name for it is "partial 16S ribosomal RNA". It matches the Rfam family "Bacterial small subunit ribosomal RNA", at positions 1168 to 1382 of the family's 1533-position model. Lineage: Bacteria; Pseudomonadati; Pseudomonadota; Gammaproteobacteria; Pseudomonadales; Pseudomonadaceae. The record is from RNAcentral.
AGGAAGUGGGGAUGACGUCAAGUCAUCAUGGCCUUACGGCCUGGGCUACACACGUGCUACAAUGGUCGGUACAAAGGGUUGCCAAGCCGCGAGGUGGAGCCUAAUCCCAUAAACCGAUCGUAGUCCGGAUCGCAGUCUGCAACUCGACUGCGUGAAGUCGGAAUCGCUAGUAAUCGUGAAUCAGAAUGUCACGGUGAAUACGUUCCCGGGCCUU